Molecule: regulatory RNA element, 50 nt
Organism: Halarchaeum acidiphilum MH1-52-1
Lineage: Archaea; Methanobacteriati; Methanobacteriota; Halobacteria; Halobacteriales; Halobacteriaceae
Rfam family: eL15-Euryarchaeota ribosomal protein leader
Source: Rfam
CCCGUCGUGACGGGACGACAUGUGGUGCGCGUCGCGCACUGAAUCGCAAG